Molecule: transfer RNA, 342 nt
Filed under: Helianthus annuus (common sunflower)
Lineage: Eukaryota; Viridiplantae; Streptophyta; Magnoliopsida; Asterales; Asteraceae
Description: hypothetical non coding rna
Rfam family: tRNA (bases 239-312)
Source: RNAcentral
CUGUAGACCGAUGGAAGGGAUGUAGCGCAGCUUGGUAGCACAUUUGUUUUGGGUACAAAGUGUCACGGGUUCAAAUCCUGUCAUCCCUACCUAUUACUGCUCCUUUGAGCAGUAACGAGGGAUUUUUUGAGAUCAACUCACAUUGGACAUAUCAUAUAGAAUCUUUCAUUCUUAUGAUACUAUAUAGUAUGCAUACAAGAUGUAUUGGGACGAAUCCUUUUUCUUUUAUGAUAAGAAAACGCUCUUAGUUCACUUCGGUAGAACGCGGGUCUCCAAAACCCGAUGUCGUAGGUUCAAAUCCUACAGAGCGUAAUUCGGAUCUUCUUCGAUCGAAUUCGACUG